UAUUUUUGUGUUUAAUAGGUUAAAGGAGGAGUGGGCAGAUAACAGCAGAGAGAAGAGACUGGCUGGGACUUGAUAAGGUAAGUGUUUGUUAACUGUUCUGUGAGAUCUCUUUUAUGUGUUUGUCUCUUAUGCUUGUGCACGAUAGGUUUAAGGAGGAAGGGGCGGAGAGGAGAAUGGCUGGGGCUUGUCAGGUGUAUUUGCUCCGGUUUCCCAGGAAAAUAGAGGAGAGAAUGGCUGUGACCUGUCAGAGUUAGUGACCCUUCGUGGGUGGGCUGGGUUGCCCUUGGAUCAAGUCAUCUUCAUUCAGGUAAGGGAGUCUUGGUCCAAUGGAGUUCACCCCCCAGCCUUGAUUGAAGACGUACUCUCUCUCCAUUCCUUUUUUGGUUCCAUGUUUGGUAGGUCUGUCCUUUUCUUACUUGGUUAUCUUAUAAUGAUUAAUUAGAUAUUUAUUAAGUUUAUUGAGUUGGGCCUUAGGCCUGUUAAAUUAUGAUUUUGUG
Monopterus albus (swamp eel) is the source of this 497-nucleotide long non-coding RNA. RefSeq lists it as uncharacterized. The transcript is spliced from 3 exons. The record is from RefSeq and is a predicted model, not a curated record. Lineage: Eukaryota; Metazoa; Chordata; Actinopteri; Synbranchiformes; Synbranchidae.